CAGCCGCCGCGGAAAUACGUAGGGUGCAAGCGUUAAUCGGAAUUACUGGGCGUAAAGCGUGCGCAGGCGGUUUUGUAAGACAGAGGUGAAAUCCCCGGGCUCAACCUGGGAACUGCCUUUGUGACUGCAAGGCUAGAGUACGGCAGAGGGGGAUGGAAUUCCGCGUGUAGCAGUGAAAUGCGUAGAUAUGCGGAGGAACACCGAUGGCGAAGGCAAUCCCCUGGGCCUGUACUGACGCUCAUGCACGAAAGCGUGGGGAGCAAACAGGAUUAGAUACCCGCGUAGUCCCUGUCUCUUAUAC
Molecule: ribosomal RNA, 301 nt
Filed under: uncultured bacterium
Lineage: Bacteria
Description: partial 16S ribosomal RNA
Rfam family: Bacterial small subunit ribosomal RNA
Source: RNAcentral